UUGGAAUCUGGGUGGGUAAAGAGCUCUU
RNAcentral lists this non-coding RNA (28 nucleotides) under Cricetulus griseus (Chinese hamster). The record is from RNAcentral. Lineage: Eukaryota; Metazoa; Chordata; Mammalia; Rodentia; Cricetidae.